RNA transcript from Ailuropoda melanoleuca (giant panda), 2583 nucleotides. It is a transcript of the gene named translation initiation factor IF-2-like, with no coding region annotated. The record is from RefSeq and is a predicted model, not a curated record. The transcript has 3 exons. Lineage: Eukaryota; Metazoa; Chordata; Mammalia; Carnivora; Ursidae.
UCCCUCUGCCUCUGCCUCUCUCUCUCUGUCUCUCAUGAAUGAAUACAUGAAAUCUUUUAAAAAAUAAAAUAAUUUUAAAAAACUAAAAAAUCAUUCAUACUACUGUGAGAAAAUCUUUGUCUAACUCUCUGAUUAUGUUCUUAGUUCCACGGGUAGUGGUUUUAAAGGCUCCCCAUGGUGGCCAAGGGGCACCAGCAACUCGACAGUUCAAACUAGCUGAAGAAAGGGGGACUUUCGAUAGAGCCCUUGGGAAGGUACUGGGGAGCAUGCCAUCUGGGAGGGGCACCUGCCUCAGGAAGAGCUCGGGGACCGGAACUGGGGCCCAGCGCUGCCCACAUCCUUCCUCUCUUCUCUGGUCUUCACUUGUUCCCCCUUGGCCUCCUUUCUUGUGGAAGAAUCUUCGUCAGGCAGCGGGGAAGGGGUGGAGGUGAGAUGUGAGGAGGACCACAGGGCCCAGGGGAGGAGGCCAUGUUGGUGGCCCCCGUGCUGCCUUGACCACCAGCCGGCCCGGGCCACAUGAGAGAUGGCACAGCCAAGGCACGUGGCACUCCUGACGGAUCUUGGACGAGUGAAAACACUGUAAUCACUCCUCGCUUCUAACACACCUGGCUGACGUCUUCAUCUUUGCUGCCCCCCUACAAAGGCCCUGCAGGUUUUGCAUCACGGAAUAAAUGUGUUACCUCACAUGUUGCAGCUCAGAGGUCUCCGUGGGUCCCACUGGUUUCUCUGCUCUGGGUCCCACAGGCCACAUCAAGAUGCCGCUGAUCUGGAACCUUCUCUAGAGGCUCUCGGGGAGAUAGCACCUAGACUCAUUCAGGAGCAGAAUUUGCCUCCAUGUGGCUCUAGGACUGAGGUCCCCUUUCCUUCCCAGCUGCCAGCCAGGAGUCGUUCUCAGCUUCUGGAAGCCACUCACAUUUCCAGGCUCGCGGUCCCCUUCAUCUGCAAACCAGCAGUGACAGGUCUGGUCCUUUUCAUGCUUCAAGUCUUUCUGGCCUCCCCUUAUGCCUCUGUUGGUUCGCAUCCUCCUGGGGGCUCCCGGGUGUGAUCUGAAGCCGGUGCCCAGACACUGUGGGCAGGGAGGGACGGAGGAAAGAGGCAAGCCACUCCAGAUGGGUUGAACGAGCACAGGGAAUGGACGUACAAGGCCUGUCUUGGGGGCUGCAAGAUGGUGGAUCCCUGUGCCCGCCCACCACAUCCUAACCAUUCACAGAGAGGCCUCACUAGGGUUCAGUCACGUACCCCCUCUCUCCUGCUGGUGCCAGCACCACAUCACUGUCUCAAGGCCGUCCUGGGGCAGCUUCUGGACAAGGUGACCAGAACCCACAUUCCAAGGACAGGGGAGGGGGUGAAAAGCCUGCAGGUGCUGGGGUCCAGCUGCCGGGUCAGCCAGCGGUCACAUCUUCUCAUGGACCUUCCCUAAAGGCUCAUCUCUGUGCCUCUAGCCAGAGAAAAUUCUCUACUUUGAAGGGAUCCUGUGAUUAGAUUGGGUGUACUUGGUUAAUCCAAAAUCAUCUCCUUAUUUUGAGGUCUGUAACCUUAAUUACAUCUGCAAAAUCCCUUUGAAAUAUAAAAUAACAGAGUCAUAGGCUCCAAGGACUGGGAGGCCUGGAUGUACUGGGAGAACAUUCUGUCUACCACACCAUCUCCCUGUGCUGAGGACCACAUUCUUACAUUUUGAAGUGAGGCCAAUCUCCUGGAUUUUUUAGCUCACAGGGCAUGAUAGGAGCAGGCCCAUCCCUGCCACUGGUUGAAUGGACUGGCUGGGAGCCCCCAGAUCUUUUAGGGUAGGUCACUGAGUAGCUGGUAGAACUCUUUAGAAGGUAUGGAUACCCUUCUUGUAAAGAAAACAAUAGUCUGUCCCGGUACUCACAGCAUCCCGCACGGAAGGACUUCAUUCAGACAUCUUACAGAGGUAAUCUAGGCCUUUCUGUCCAAGCCAAGUCCUCUUCCUUGCCUCCAACCAUAUGCUUGCCAUGUCCUCAGAUCCUGACUGUCCAAGACCGGCUCCAUUUUCCCCUCCACUAAUCUGCUGUCAUUAAUUAGCUUUGUGGGUAAAAACAGAGCCCAAGAACUUCAACAGCCAGGUGUAAGGAAACCCAGCUGCCUGGAAAGUUUACAUAAGGGCACUGCCAGGUGUGGCCACUUCCGGAUAAGCCGGUCACUAACGCCCAUGUCAUCAGCAGAGCACGCUUACGGGGGCGCAUGCAGUGGGAAGGAGUGUUAAAACCCAUGCCUCAGCGUAGAGAUUCAACAGAUUUUGCCCCCGCCUCGAUUUCUUCAUCUGGAAAAUGGGAAUCAUGAUACCUACCUCAAGGAAUUCACUGCAAGAAUUAGGUGAUGUAAAGUAUCAAAAUUGCCUGGCACCGCGCCCUGGCUUACCAUUUGCUUGCCACACCAUUGUCACCCCGUGUCCUGUCCCCAUAACCACAGCUGGAGUGAAAGUGCUUUCUAAAAAGGUGACAUGGGGGUGCCUGGGUGGCUUAGCCAUUAGGCGUCUGCCUUCAGCUCAGGUCAUGAUCCCAGGGUCCUGGGAUUGAGCCCCGCAUUGGGUUCCCUGCUUGCUGGGAAACCUGCUUCCCCCUC